This is a non-coding RNA of Felis catus (domestic cat), 85 nucleotides long. Lineage: Eukaryota; Metazoa; Chordata; Mammalia; Carnivora; Felidae. The record is from Rfam.
GCCUGGGUGGCUCGGUCAGUUGAGCGUCUGACUUCGGCUCAGGUCAUGAUCUCACGGUUCGUGAGUUCGAGCCCCGCGUCAGGCU